This 506-nucleotide ribosomal RNA is filed under the name uncultured bacterium. RNAcentral describes it as "partial 16S ribosomal RNA". It matches the Rfam family "Bacterial small subunit ribosomal RNA", at positions 28 to 523 of the family's 1533-position model. The record is from RNAcentral.
GAUGAACGCUAGCUACAGGCUUAACACAUGCAAGUCGAGGGGUAACGAGAGGAAAGCUUGCUUUCCUUGUCGACGACCGGCGCACGGGUGAGUAACGCGUAUCCAACCUGCCCCCAACUAGGGAAUAACCUUGCGAAAGUAAGACUAAUACCCUAUAAUUUCCUCAGAUGUCAUCUGACGAGGAAUAAAGAUUUAUCGGUUGUGGAUGGGGAUGCGUCUGAUUAGCCUGUUGGCGGGGUAACGGCCCACCAAGGCAACGAUCAGUAGGGGUUCUGAGAGGAAGGACCCCCACAUUGGACCUGAGACACGGUCCAAACUCCUGCGGGAGGCAGCAGUGAGGAAUAUUGGUCAAGGGGCGGAAGCCUGAACCAGCCAAGUAGCGUGCAGGAUGACGGCCCUAUGGGUUGUAAACUGCUUUUAUACAGGAAUAAAGUUAGCCACGUGUGGUUAUUUGUAGGUACUGUAUGAAUAAGGACCGGCUAAUUCCGUGCCAGCCGCCGCCGUAA